UGCGUAGGCGGUUUGAUCAGUCAGUGGUGAAAGUUUGCAGCUUAACUGUAAAAUUGCCAUUGAUACUGUCAGACUUGAGUACAGAUGAGGUAGGCGGAAUGUGUAGUGUAGCGGUGAAAUGCUUAGAUAUUACACAGAACACCGAUUGCGAAGGCAGCUUACUAAACUGUCGCUGACGCUGAGGCACGAAAGUGUGGGGAUCAAACAGGAUUAGAUACCCUGGUAGUCC
Molecule: ribosomal RNA, 229 nt
Filed under: uncultured bacterium
Lineage: Bacteria
Description: partial 16S ribosomal RNA
Rfam family: Bacterial small subunit ribosomal RNA
Source: RNAcentral